GAUGAACGCUGGCGGCGUACCUAAUACAUGCAAGUCGAGCGAACAGAUGAGAAGCUUGCUUCUCUGUUGUUAGCGGCGGACGGGUGAGUAACACGUGGGUAACCUACCUAUAAGACUGGGAUAACUCCGGGAAACCGGGGCUAAUACCGGAUAAUAUUUUGAACCGCAUGGUUCAAUAGUGAAAGACGGUUUCGGCUGUCACUUAUAGAUGGACCCGGGCCGUAUUAGCUAGUUGGUAAGGUAACGGCUUACCAAGGCGACGAUACGUAGCCGACCUGAGAGGGUGAUCGGCCACACUGGAACUGAGACACGGUCCAGACUCCUACGGGAGGCAGCAGUAGGGAAUCUUCCGCAAUGGGCGAAAGCCUGACGGAGCAACGCCGCGUGAGUGAUGAAGGUCUUCGGAUCGUAAAACUCUGUUGUUAGGGAAGAACAAAUUUGUUAGUAACUGAACAAGUCUUGACGGUACCUAACCAGAAAGCCACGGCUAACUACGUGCCAGCAGCCGCCGUAA
Molecule: ribosomal RNA, 514 nt
Filed under: uncultured bacterium
Lineage: Bacteria
Description: partial 16S ribosomal RNA
Rfam family: Bacterial small subunit ribosomal RNA
Source: RNAcentral